This 465-nucleotide ribosomal RNA is filed under the name uncultured bacterium. RNAcentral's name for it is "partial 16S ribosomal RNA". It matches the Rfam family "Bacterial small subunit ribosomal RNA", at positions 339 to 795 of the family's 1533-position model. The record is from RNAcentral.
CUACGGGAGGCUCCAGUGGGGAAUAUUGGACAAUGGGGGAAACCCUGAUCCAGCAAUGCCGCGUGUGUGAAGAAGGCCUGCGGGUUGUAAAGCACUUUCGGUUGGGAGGACUGCUUCUAGCACUAAUAUUGUUGGAAGUUGACGUUACCUUCAGAAGAAGCACCGGCUAACUCCGUGCCAGCGGCCGCAGUAAUACGGAGGGUGCAAGCGUUAAUCGGAAUUACUGGGCGUAAAGCGCGCGUAGGCGGCUAGAUCAGUCGGGUGUGAAAGCCCCGGGCUUAACCUGGGAACUGCAUCCGAUACUGGCUAGCUUGAGUACAGGAGAGGAGAGUGGAAUUCCACAUGUAGCGGUGAAAUGCGUAGAUAUGUGGAGGAACACCAAUGGCGAAGGCAGCUCUCUGGCCUGAUACUGACGCUGAGGUGCGAAAGCGUGGGGAGCAAACAGGAUUAGAUACCCCGGUAGUC